Molecule: long non-coding RNA, 2767 nt
Filed under: Nicotiana tabacum (common tobacco)
Lineage: Eukaryota; Viridiplantae; Streptophyta; Magnoliopsida; Solanales; Solanaceae
Description: long non-coding RNA (NTAB_LNC010235)
Source: RNAcentral
AACUACUUAAAUAUACUUCUGUGAUAGUUUUUCCCUAUUUUCGCUCUCUUUUGCUUUCUUUGUCUUACUUAUUGGGAUCAGUACCUGCAAUUGUUAACCAACCUAUUAGAUUAUGCUUUACAUGGCUAGAACAUUAAAGUUGAAAGAAAACCAGAGGAGGGGUAUGUUAUGGAUGCAUUUGUUGGCAGACAAUUUACUAGACGCAAUUAAUAAGAUAGAUAAUGAUUGAUAUUUUCUGAAUUAUUUUGUCAGCUUUGAAUAAAACUUCCCUUAGUGAUUUAGAACUCUUGUUAUCUCUUUUAGUUAGGACUCUUUUCUGAGUUAGGAUUCUUGUUAUUUCUUAUUUGUUAGGACUCUUGCUUUGUAACCUCUAUUUAAGAGAGUUGACGCUUAUGAAUAAAAGUAGGUUGAAUUUCUUCAAGUCACAGAGAUUUGGAACUUUUCUCAAACAAGUUCCCAGGUGUGCAAUUCCCUGAUUGAAUUGUAAAUCCGGCAAUCGUAGGCAAGUCUAGGAACAAGAACAAGGACUUAGACCUUCGUGUUGGGCCUGACUUUCCUGUUAAUCGUCUAGCGACUCGAUCCAAAAUUAGGGACCAUAACAAUUUGGUAUCAGAGCUAAUAAAAUUGUGUGUGCUGCCUGAAUCCACUAAGUUAAGCAACAACUUCAUAUCAACUACAACUUGCAAUUGCAUAGUAUUUGCAUGUUGUUUGCCUGUGAUAGCAUGCAGUGAGAUGGCAGGCUCUUCGUUUUCCGUUGUUAUAUCCUCAGAUUCUCCAUCCUCUAUUUCCAGCCAAAAUAACUUUUUGCAUUGAUGGCCUGCAACUUAAGGAUCAUCGCAAUUGUAGCACAAUCCUUUUGCACGCCGGGCAGCCAUCUCGGUGCGAGUCAACCUUUUCACAAAAGGAUAAGAAGAAGCAGUAGUCUUAGCAGUUGGGGUCAUUGCUGUACCGGCAACUUUAACACUGUCGUUUGAGGUUGAACCAUUGCCCCUUUGUGUUGCAGAAGAAAUCUGUAUUUUCUUCUCAAAUGCUCUUGCCAGACUCAUUGCUUGCACUAAGUUAGAUAGAUUAUGCAUUUCAACAUCAAGACGAAUUGAAUCAACUAACCCUGCUGUAAACAUAUCAACUUGUUGGUCUAUGCGCACAGAUGAAGCAUGAGCCAACCGGUUUUGGAAGUUUCUCUAAUAUUCUUCCACAGAACUGGUUUGUUUCAAGUUGAUCAACUCUCCUAAUGGGUUACUUUUCAUUGGUGGGCCAAAUCGAAGGGUACAAUAUUCUUUGAACACACCCAACGUUAAAUUGGGUUCCUCCAAUUCUAGUUGAUAAACCCAUAAUUGGGCCUCCCCGACCAUGUGAAAAGAAGCUAACCCUACUUUUUCUUGGUUGGCAGUAUGCUGGUUAGCAAAGAAUUUCUCACAACGGUGAAGCCAAAUAAGAGGAUCUUCAAUUCCAUCAUAAGUAGGAAAAUCUAAUUUAGUAUAUCUAGGUACUAUACCUCUUCCUCCGAUGAUGUCAUCAAUACCAGAAUUGAUGUUAUUUCUUCUCCCUAGAUGAAGAUCUGAAUGUUCACCUGCAUUAGUAGUUCGAUGGGCAGCAACAACACUAUUAUCUCCAACUUCAACUCCCUUCAUACACGUCGCGGUGCGGAUUAAGGCUUCAAUCUGUUGCGAUAGUUGCUGGAAUUUGGCGUCUGUCCUCGCAUCUGAAGCUGAUACUUUUGCUUCAGCUUCAGCUUGGGCUUCCUCGAAAAGAUUUCGCAACUUUGCUUCUACAGAUUUUUCGUCCAUCGUGACAAGCUCUGAUACCAAUUUCGCAACUUCAUCGCAACAUAAGAUGAAGACUGUUUAUGAUAAAGGACAUCGUGAUGUGGAAUUCUCUCCGGGAUCGUAUGUUUGGUUACGUUUACAUCCAUAUUGCCAAAAACCUCUGGCUAGCCGUGUCUAUCAUAAACUUGCACCAAAAUUUUAUGGCCCUUUUGCAGUUUUGAGGCGCAUAGGAUCUGUAGCUUAUCAACUUGAUCUACCUGCACGUUGCAAGCUUCAUAAUGUGUUUCAUGUGUCACUUCUUAAGCCAUUCAAGGGUGAGAUACCUGCAACUCUACCUACUUUUCCACCAAUUGAAGAAGGACGCAUUGUUCCUACCCCUUGCUCUGUGCUUCGCUCCCGUCUGAAUCGUGGUAAUUGGGAACUUUUGGUUCAGUGGUGUGGUUUCUCUGUUGAGGAUUCCACUUGGGAGAAUGUAGAUCAUUUCAAAUCUGCCUUUCCAGACUUCAAGCUUGAGGACAAGCUUUUUCUCUAGGAAGGGAGUAAUGUUAUGGAUGCAUUUGUUGGCAGACAAUUUACUAGACGCAAGAAUUAAUAGGAUAGAUAAUGAUUGAUAUUUUCUGAAUUAUUUUGUCAGCUUUGAAUAAAACUUCCCUUAGUGAUUUAGAACUCUUGUUAUCUCUUUUAGUUAGGACUCUUUUCUAAGUUAGGAUUCUUGCUAUUUCUUAUUUGAUAGGACUAUUGCUUUGUAACCUCUAUUUAAGAGAGUUGACGCUUAUGAAAAAAAGUAGGUUGAAUUUCUUCAAGUCAUAGAGAUUUGGAACUUUUCUCAAACAAGUUCCCAGGUGUGCAAUUCCCUGAUUGAAUUGCAAAUACGGCAAUCAUAGGCAAGUCUAGGAACAAGAACAAGGGAUUAAACCUUUGUGUUAGGCCUGACUUUCCUGUUAAUCGUCCAGUGACUCGAUCCAAAAUUAGGGACCAUAACAAGGUACCUUCUAACAGAU